RNAcentral lists this ribosomal RNA (351 nucleotides) under uncultured bacterium. Its description in RNAcentral is "bacterial SSU rRNA". It matches the Rfam family "Bacterial small subunit ribosomal RNA", at positions 917 to 1271 of the family's 1533-position model. The record is from RNAcentral.
GGGCCCGCACAAGCAGUGGAGCAUGUGGUUUAAUUCGAUGAUACGCGAGGAACCUUACCUGGGCUCGAACACUAUUAGACGAUACCUGAAAGGGUAUUUCUCUUCGGAGCUGGUAGUGAGGUGCUGCAUGGUUGUCGUCAGCUCGUGCCGUGAGUGUUGGGUUAAGUCCCGCAACGAGCGCAACCCCUAUCUUCAGUUGCCAACAGUUAGGCUGGGGACUCUGGAGAGACUGCCUCCGUAAGGAGUGAGGAAGGAAGGGACGACGUCAAAUCAUCAUGGCCUUUAUGCCAGGGCUACACACGUGCUACAAUGGUAGGUACAGAGGGGAGCGAAGUUGCGAAGCGGAGCGAA